This 543-nucleotide unclassified non-coding RNA is filed under the name Hevea brasiliensis (rubber tree). Lineage: Eukaryota; Viridiplantae; Streptophyta; Magnoliopsida; Malpighiales; Euphorbiaceae. The record is from RNAcentral.
AUAUAUUUGGGUGGGAAAGAGAUAACAGUGAAGAAAUUUCAGGAACAAGGGCUUCAAUGUCACCAAAGAAAUGUCUAAUGGCAAGGCUUUCUCCCAACCAUACAAUCUCCUUGUAUUGGCUACCACUCCCAAGGCGUCUUCUUACCUGGUAAUCUUUAGACCCAGCCAGGAUUGAACUUGGCAAGAGUUUCCCAUUCUGAUGCUCUGAUCCUUCCAAAUUUUUCAGAAAUAAUUCUAUGAGUUGUCGCUCAUGCUUUGUUGAGCAUGAAAUCUUCUUUUCCUUGAUUUUAUUUAGGAGAAUCCACCUAUCCUCUUUCCAAGCUGUAUCAAAACGUUCACACAAUUCCUGGGUAAUGAGAUACUGCUUUGCGAACCUCCACUGAAAUAGUUGUGGGUCUUUCCAUUGCUUCUGAUACUUGUUUGAGUACACAAGCCUCUUCUUCUGUAUCUCAAGCUCAUCCCACCCUGAAAAUUCUCCAACAGUUUCGAUUGCUUCGAUAACAAUUGGAAUGUAGGUAAGUAAGUUGUGGAUAUAAAACUGGA